GUUGGGUUACGGUGCCAAACUGCAAACUAACCUAGAUCCCACAAACGGUGUUGGUUGAUUAAGAUAUCAUGAUGGAGGUCAUGGAAGUUGAAGAAGGCUAAGAAGUAUGUAACCACCAACCCGCCGAAUCAACUAUCCUUAAAAAUGGAUGGCGCUUAAGUGUACGACCUAUAUAUGGC
Capsicum annuum is the source of this 179-nucleotide non-coding RNA. The record is from Rfam. NCBI's taxonomy places the organism in Eukaryota, Viridiplantae, Streptophyta, Magnoliopsida, Solanales, Solanaceae.